Molecule: ribosomal RNA, 259 nt
Filed under: uncultured Leptotrichia sp.
Lineage: Bacteria; Fusobacteriati; Fusobacteriota; Fusobacteriia; Fusobacteriales; Leptotrichiaceae
Description: partial 16S ribosomal RNA
Rfam family: Bacterial small subunit ribosomal RNA
Source: RNAcentral
UGGCGGACGGGUGAGUAACGCGUAAAGAACUUGCCCUUUAGACUGGGAUAACAGAGGGAAACUUCUGAUAAUACUGGAUAAGUUAGUAUAUCGCGUGAUAUGCAAAUGAAAGCUACGGCACUAAAGGAGAGCUUUGCGUCCUAUUAGCUAGUUGGUAAGGUAAGAGCUUACCAAGGCGAUGAUAGGUAGCCGGCCUGAGAGGGUGGACGGCCACAAGGGGACUGAGAUACGGCCCUUACUCCUACGGGAGGCAGCAGCC